GAUGAACGCUGGCGGCGUGCCUAAUACAUGCAAGUCGAGCGAACAGACGGGGAGCUUGCUCCUCUGACGUUAGCGGCGGACGGGUGAGUAACACGUGGAUAACCUACCUAUAAGACUGGGAUAACUUCGGGAAACCGGAGCUAAUACCGGAUAAUAUAUUGAACCGCAUGGUUCAAUAGUGAAAGACGGUUUUGCUGUCACUUAUAGAUGGAUCCGCGCCGCAUUAGCUAGUUGGUAAGGUAACGGCUUACCAAGGCAACGAUGCGUAGCCGACCUGAGAGGGUGAUCGGCCACACUGGAACUGAGACACGGUCCAGACUCCUACGGGAGGCAGCAGUAGGGAACCUUCCGCAAUGGGCGAAAGCUUGACGGAGCAACGCCGCGUGAGUGAUGAAGGUCUUCGGAUCGUAAAACUCUGUUAUUAGGGAAGAACAAAUGUGUAAGUAACUAUGCACGUCUUGACGGUACCUAAUCAGAAAGCCACGGCUAACUACGUG
RNAcentral lists this ribosomal RNA (497 nucleotides) under uncultured bacterium. RNAcentral describes it as "partial 16S ribosomal RNA". It matches the Rfam family "Bacterial small subunit ribosomal RNA", at positions 28 to 507 of the family's 1533-position model. The record is from RNAcentral.